This 617-nucleotide long non-coding RNA is filed under the name Capsicum annuum. Its description in RNAcentral is "long non-coding RNA (CANN_LNC020099)". The record is from RNAcentral. Lineage: Eukaryota; Viridiplantae; Streptophyta; Magnoliopsida; Solanales; Solanaceae.
UAUUUUUUAUUUUAAAAAUUAAAAAUUAUUUUUGAUUUAAUAUUUUUCUUUUUUAUAUGCAGGAGUCAGGAAGGAUGUAACUUUUUCAUCUUCAAUUUUCUCUGCUGCUGUAUACGAAAAGGAACAAGUAGCGAAAAUGAAGUGAAAAAAAGAAUUUAUAUGCUAUGAAAGUUGUUACAAUCUGUGUUGAGGAUAUGCCAUAGAGUUGUUACAACCUGUGCUGAGAAUAAGUUAUGAAUAUUGUUUAAUUGGUUAUAAAAUGGAUGAAAAAUUUUACGAAAGUGCAAUUGGAUGUUUAUAUAAAAGAGGAUUGCAUGAUUUGAAUACCAAAGCAAUGUUGGCUAUGGAAGUCUUCUUCAGCUUGUGAAAUUGGGGCCAGAAUCUGAUGAUGUAGGCUAUACAGAGAUUAAUAUCGAGUCUAAUAUCAUUACCUUUUGAAAGGUGUUAUUACUAUUCUAUUUGUUCUUUGCAUGCAAUCGAUGUUUGUACUUUUUAAAAACUUUUUAGUUCGACUGUUCAGUAUUCAUACAUGGUAGCCCCUAUUUCUGAAGUGACACUUUUAAGAGGAUUUUUUCAUGUCCAAGUAUUAAAUCAAGCCUUUUGAUUGAGGAUGGAAG